This is a long non-coding RNA of Hyla sarda, 292 nucleotides long. RefSeq lists it as uncharacterized. Lineage: Eukaryota; Metazoa; Chordata; Amphibia; Anura; Hylidae. The record is from RefSeq and is a predicted model, not a curated record. The transcript is spliced from 3 exons.
GGAACAUCACUCCUUCAGCCUACUAUAACAGCCAUUCGGGCAUCUGAAUCUGCAUAUCUCUACUAAUUACUGCAUAUACCAUCGCGAUUGAUCCUCAACAGCCAUUUUGAGAACUCUCCCUCAUACCGCCCACAGUUCGAUCUGUAUCACCAGGACCUCUCUUCCCUCCUACUGCUUAUACAGGCAGGUACAGCAGGAGAGCAGAGACCAAGUGUGCGGGGGGAUGUGGGUGGCGACGGACCGUUGCGUGCUAUCAGCACUUCGUCAAGCCAUCAAAACACCGAAUAAAGAA